GGAGGGGGCUAGCGUUGUUCGGAAUUACUGGGCGUAAAGGGCGCGUAGGCGGUAUGCCAUGUCAGGGGUGAAAGGCCUGGGCUCAACCCAGGAACUGCCUUUGAAACUGGCAAACUAGAGUCCGAUAGAGGAUGGCGGAAUUCCCAGUGUAGAGGUGAAAUUCGUAGAUAUUGGGAAGAACACCAGUGGCGAAGGCGGCCAUCUGGAUCGGCACUGACGCUGAGGCGCGAAAGCGUGGGGAGCAAACAGGGAUUAGAUACCCUGGUAGUCCACGCCGUAAACGAUGUGUGCUAGACGUUGGGGGCCCUUAGGCCCUGGGUGUCGCAGCUAACGCGUUAAGCACACCGCCUGGGGGGUACGGCCGCAGGUUA
Molecule: ribosomal RNA, 371 nt
Filed under: uncultured organism
Description: partial 16S ribosomal RNA
Rfam family: Bacterial small subunit ribosomal RNA
Source: RNAcentral